Molecule: ribosomal RNA, 253 nt
Filed under: uncultured bacterium
Lineage: Bacteria
Description: partial 16S ribosomal RNA
Rfam family: Bacterial small subunit ribosomal RNA
Source: RNAcentral
GACGUAGGGCGCAAGCGUUGUCCGGAUUUAUUGGGCGUAAAGAGCUCGUAGGCGGCUUGUCGCGUCGGCUGUGAAAUCCCGAGGCUCAACCUCGGGCCUGCAGUCGAUACGGGCAAACUAGAGUGUGGUAGGGGAGACUGGAAUUCCUGGUGUAGCGGUGAAAUGCGCAGAUAUCAGGAGGAACACCGGCGGCGAAGGCGGGUCUCUGGGCCAUAACUGACGCUGAGACACGAAAGCGUGGGUAGCAAACAGG